UACGUAGGGUGCAAGCGUUGUCCGGAAUUACUGGGCGUAAAGGGCGCGUAGGCGGCCUACUAAGUCGGACGUGAAAUCCCUCGGCUCAACCGGGGAACUGCGUCCGAUACUGGUGGGCUCGAAUCCGGGAGAGGGAUGUGGAAUUCCAGGUGUAGCGGUGAAAUGCGUAGAUAUCUGGAGGAACACCGGUGGCGAAGGCGGCAUCCUGGACCGGUAUUGACGCUGAUGCGCGAAAGCCAGGGGAGCAAGCGGG
This 253-nucleotide ribosomal RNA is filed under the name uncultured bacterium. RNAcentral describes it as "partial 16S ribosomal RNA". It matches the Rfam family "Bacterial small subunit ribosomal RNA", at positions 524 to 776 of the family's 1533-position model. The record is from RNAcentral.